CCAGACUCCUACGGGAGGCAGCAGUGGGGGAUAUUGCACAAUGGGGGAAACCCUGAUGCAGCGACGCCGCGUGGGUGAAGAAGCGCCUCGGCGCGUAAAGCCCUGUCAGCAGGGAAGAAAAUGACGGUACCUGAAGAAGAAGCCCCGGCUAACUACGUGCCAGCAGCCGCGGUAAUACGUAGGGGGCAAGCGUUAUCCGGAUUUACUGGGUGUAAAGGGGGCGUAGGCGGUUUAGCGAGUCAGAAGUGAAAGCCCGGGGCUCAACUCCGGGACUGCUUUUGAAACUGUUGAACUAGAUUGCAGGAGAGGUAAGUGGAAUUCCUAGUGUAGCGGUGAAAUGCGUAGAUAUUAGGAGGAACACCAGUGACGAAGGCGGCUUACUGGACUGUAAAUGACGCUGAGGCUCGAAAGCGUGGGGAGCAAACAGGAUUAGAUACCCGAGUAAA
This 446-nucleotide ribosomal RNA is filed under the name uncultured bacterium. RNAcentral describes it as "bacterial SSU rRNA". It matches the Rfam family "Bacterial small subunit ribosomal RNA", at positions 331 to 794 of the family's 1533-position model. The record is from RNAcentral.